CUUAACUAGGAACCGUACCCCAAACCGACACAGGUGGUUGGGUAGAGAAUACCAAGGCGCUUGAGAGAACUCGGGUGAAGGAACUAGGCAAAAUGGCACCGUAACUUCGGGAGAAGGUGCGCCGGUGAGGGUGAAGUAUUUACUACGUAAGCCCAUGCCGGUCGAAGAUACCAGGCCGCUGCGACUGUUUAUUAAAAACACAGCACUCUGCAAACACGAAAGUGGACGUAUAGGGUGUGACGCCUGCCCGGUGCCGGAAGGUUAAUUGAUGGGGUUAGCUAACGCGAAGCUCUUGAUCGAAGCCCCGGUAAACGGCGGCCGUAACAAUAACGGUCCUAAGGUAGCGAAAUUCCUUGUCGGGUAAGUUCCGACCUGCACGAAUGGCGUAACGAUGGCGGCGCUGUCUCCACCCGAGACUCAGUGAAAUUGAAAUCGCUGUGAAGAUGCAGUGUAUCCGCGGCUAGACGGAAAGACCCCGUGAACCUUUACUAUAGCUUUGCACUGGACUUUGAAUUUGCUUGUGUAGGAUAGGUGGGAGGCUUUGAAGCGUGAACGCCAGUUUGCGUGGAGCCAAUCUUGAAAUACCACCCUGGCAACUUUGAGGUUCUAACUCUGGUCCGUUAUCCGGAUCGAGGACAGUGUAUGGUGGGUAGUUUGACUGGGGCGGUCUCCUCCUAAAGAGUAACGGAGGAGUACGAAGGUGCGCUCAGACCGGUCGGAAAUCGGUCGUAGAGUAUAAAGGCAAAAGCGCGCUUGACUGCGAGACAGACACGUCGAGCAGGUACGAAAGUAGGUCUUAGUGAUCCGGUGGUUCUGUAUGGAAGGGCCAUCGCUCAACGGAUAAAAGGUACUCCGGGGAUAACAGGCUGAUACCGCCCAAGAGUUCAUAUCGACGGCGGUGUUUGGCACCUCGAUGUCGGCUCAUCACAUCCUGGGGCUGAAGCCGGUCCCAAGGGUAUGGCUGCUCGCCAUUUAAAGUGGUACGCGAGCUGGGUUUAGAACGUCGUGAGACAGUUCGGUCCCUAUCUGCCGUGGACGUUUGAGAUUUGAGAGGGGCUGCUCCUAGUACGAGAGGACCGGAGUGGACGAACCUCUGGUGUUCCGGUUGUCACGCCAGUGGCAUUGCCGGGUAGCUAUGUUCGGGAAAGAUAACCGCUGAAAGCAUCUAAGCGGGAAACUUGCCUCAAGAUGAGAUCUCACUGGAACCUUGAGUUCCCUAAAGGGCCGUCGAAGACUACGACGUUGAUAGGUUGGGUGUGUAAGCGCUGUGAGGCGUUGAGCUAACCAAUACUAAUUGCCCGUGAGGCUUGACC
RNAcentral lists this ribosomal RNA (1313 nucleotides) under metagenome. RNAcentral describes it as "bacterial LSU rRNA". It matches the Rfam family "Bacterial large subunit ribosomal RNA", at positions 1630 to 2925 of the family's 2925-position model. The record is from RNAcentral.